This 148-nucleotide non-coding RNA is filed under the name Pongo abelii (Sumatran orangutan). The record is from Rfam by way of RNAcentral. Lineage: Eukaryota; Metazoa; Chordata; Mammalia; Primates; Hominidae.
GCUGGGCGUAGUGGUGUAUGCCUGUAGUCCCAGCUACUUGGGAGGCUGAGGCAGAAGAAUCACUUGAACCUAGGAGGCAGAGGUUGCAGUGAGCCGAGAUCGUGCCACUGCACUCCAGCCUGGGCAACAGAGUGAGACUCCGUCUCAA